Molecule: long non-coding RNA, 1384 nt
Organism: Brassica napus (rape)
Lineage: Eukaryota; Viridiplantae; Streptophyta; Magnoliopsida; Brassicales; Brassicaceae
Exons: 3
Source: RefSeq, a predicted model, not a curated record
GGGGUCCACGUCAGCAUCCACCUAAGAAAAUCAAGCUCUGGCGUUGCAACACGUGUCAUGUCUGCACAAAACGCAACACUUCAUUUAUUCUGGAUUUAAUUGGGCUUUGAACAUUAGGCUUAUAUUCAUUGUGUUGUUGGGUUGAAAACUUACAAAAUUUGGCCCAAAGUCGUUUUCACCUUUGCUUUACUUUCGAGAAGCCGCCAUUCUUUCUAGGGUUUGUCCUGUUCUUCAAGCUCUGCCAACAAUGGAGGUUUGGAAACAUGGACUGAGACAAGUCUUUGCGAGUAAUCUAUGCGUCGAUUUCGUUUCAUGUCGUUUGCGAUUCAUCACCCCCGAGCCGUUACAGUAGCAUGAUUCAUCCCCAUUAAUGAGUUCUUAACUCUUUCGCCACACUACAAUCAUUCAAUGAUCCUUAUCUCUCUUCGAGGCGGUGAAUCUCCAUCUAUAAAAAGGCUUUGGCAUGAGAUUGAUCCGCUAAUUUUGGAGGCAGAUUUGUAUGGAAGUCGAUGGUCGAGGAUCUCGCUAGAAGAUAAUUUGGUGAAAGAGUUUAUAUGCCCUUUGCGCAGAUGUGUUUGACAAUUUCGAGCUGUGUUAUCACAUUGAUGAAGAGCAUCCUGUUGAGGCCAAGAACAUGUUAAAUCAACUAUCAUCAAACGCUUCUAUUAACAUGUCAUGUCUUUUUAGACAUGAUUUGUCUGAUUCUUAGGUUUGUUAAUGUCCUAGCUUUAGGUUUGUUCAUGUGUAACAGAAAAUUUGGUUUCCUUUUAUAAAGUUCUAAGCUUUGCUUGAAAUUGAAAAUUUGGUGAUGAUUAUAUUCGUUGCAUACCUCAUGUAUCUUCUUAUCAGAUGCGUCCUUUAACAGUCUGGUUCAAACUUAUUGCAACUGCAUCUGCAAAGGCAAGAGUAAGAGGACAAGGGUAUCCGAGGUUUGGUCAAGAGAAGCCUGAGAAGAACGGAAUUACAAGGCGUCACUCUUCCUCCUGGAUCAAAUGGGAAGCUGAGUUUAAUGUCUCCAAGAGCUCACAGACUUCUCAUAGCUUCAGCUAAGGGUUCAAUGAACAGUGACAAAUCUUUUUCGUCUUUCAAGGAUUACUGAUAAAUCGACCAAAUCUGAGUGAAAACGGUGAAUGUCUUUUGAGGGAAUAGAGAAAGCAAUCAUGGUCGUCUUACACGGUUGGACAAAGCUCUGAAACCUUUUUAAUCAUUUUAGCUGUUUUGUUUCUAUGUUUCCUGUGCGUUUUGCUUUUAUUUGGUGUGGUGAGUCUUUGACAUGUUCUCUUUAGGUUUACUUUUAGAUGCUUUGUCUUCUCAAACAAAAAGGUUUUUUAGUAUAUAGUUAUUAUAAAUGCUUCUCUUAAAUCAUUUACAGUUUGUUCAUGAA